This 116-nucleotide ribosomal RNA is filed under the name uncultured bacterium. RNAcentral describes it as "partial 16S ribosomal RNA". It matches the Rfam family "Bacterial small subunit ribosomal RNA", at positions 1358 to 1482 of the family's 1533-position model. The record is from RNAcentral.
CGCGGUGAAUACGUUCCCGGACCUUGUACACACCGCCCGUCAAGCCAUGGGAGCCGGGUGUACCUAAAGACGAUAACCGUAAGGAGUCGUCCAAGGUAAAACCGGUGACUGGGGCU